AUCCUGGUGACUCAAAUGGUAAAGAAUCUGCCUGCAAUGCAGGAGACCCAGGUUCAAUCCCUGGAUGGGAAA
Bos taurus (domestic cattle) is the source of this 72-nucleotide non-coding RNA. NCBI's taxonomy places the organism in Eukaryota, Metazoa, Chordata, Mammalia, Artiodactyla, Bovidae. The record is from Rfam.